Pimephales promelas (fathead minnow) is the source of this 482-nucleotide long non-coding RNA. RefSeq lists it as uncharacterized. NCBI's taxonomy places the organism in Eukaryota, Metazoa, Chordata, Actinopteri, Cypriniformes, Leuciscidae. The record is from RefSeq and is a predicted model, not a curated record.
AGGAUUGUAUUUAAGCCUCAGUGGAAGUUGUCUUGCAGUUCAACUGAGAGCACGAACCAGCAUCUCCUAUAAACCAAGACACCUCAUCAGGCGGUUCCCACAGAGAAAGGUUUUAAUAAUCUGCUGACAUUUCUACAUUUUCUUUUGGAGUAAACCCCUGUUCUGAAGAUGUCAGCGAGCUUUGCGAUCGAAGGGCCAAACGUCUCCACAAAUGUCGAAGCCUCUUUAUCGUCUCUCAGUGUCACAGCCUUUGUGAAUGCACAAGUCGCCAGUACUUUCCUCGCCAUUGGUCCUGUGAAAACUACAGUGGGCAUUGCAGCAGAUACUGGUGCCAAGAUCGGUGUGACAGGUGUAGAGGCAAAGGUGCUGGGAACAGGCUUCUCCAUCGGUCGUAAAAUGGGCAUUUCUCUGUUUGGCACUGGAAUUGAAAUUAAUUUGUGGUAAACUGUGGCUUUGUGCCAAACACUACUGCCGUGUCUUCU